UCCGCAAUGGGCGAAAGCCUGACGGAGCAAGACCGCGUGGGGGAAGAAGGCUCUUGGGUUGUAAACCCCUUUUCUCUGGGAAGAAAGUUGUGAAAGCAACCUGACGGUACCAGAGGAAUCAGCAUCGGCUAACUCCGUGCCAGCAGCCGCGGUAAGACGGAGGAUGCAAGCGUUAUCCGGAAUGAUUGGGCGUAAAGCGUCCGCAGGUGGCAGUUCAAGUCUGCUGUCAAAGACCGGGGCUCAACCUCGGAAAGGCAGUGGAAACUGAACAGCUAGAGUAUGGUAGGGGCAAAGGGAAUUCCUGGUGUAGCGGUGAAAUGCGUAGAGAUCAGGAAGAACGUCGGUGGCGAAGGCGCUUUGCUGGACCAUAACUGACACUCAGGGACGAAAGCUAGGGGAGC
RNAcentral lists this ribosomal RNA (401 nucleotides) under uncultured Antarctic cyanobacterium. Its description in RNAcentral is "bacterial SSU rRNA". It matches the Rfam family "Bacterial small subunit ribosomal RNA", at positions 365 to 769 of the family's 1533-position model. Lineage: Bacteria; Bacillati; Cyanobacteriota. The record is from RNAcentral.